UUUUUCAACAUGUUAAGCAUAAGCGAAGUUUCGAGUGAGAAUCUACAGUCAGAAUUUCGUUGUUGAUUUACAAAAACCUGAAGAAGAGAAGUAGAGAAGAGAGUUAAUAUAAUUUUUUCAACAUGUUAAGCAUAAGCGAAGUUUCGAGUGAGAAUCUACAGGUAUUUGAGCAAUAAAAACAAUUUGUAACCAGUUUCGUUUUAUCUUCUUGAUUACUUUUAUACUAAAAAUUGCUCAUAAUUUGAACGAAAAAUACUCAUAAAGGAUUACUUGCUUUUUCGUUUUUAUGGAGUUUGAAAGUUUUCGAUUGGUUAGACACUAGUAAGGCAUUGGUUAGAUACUAGGCAUUGGUUAGAUACUAGGCAUUGGUUAGAUACUAGGCAUUGGUUAGAUACUAGGCAUUGGUUAGAUACUAGGCAUUGGUUAGAUACUAGUCAUUGGUUAGAUACUAGGCGUUGGUUAGAUAUUAGGCAUUGGUUAGAUACUAGACAUUGGUUAGAUACUAGGCAUUGGUGAGAUACUGGGCAUUGGUUAGAUACUAGGCAUUUGUUAGAUAUUAGGCAUUGGUUAGAUACUAGGCAUUGGUUAGACACCAGGUUACUGUUUUUUAUUUAUUUUGAUUCUUAACAAUUUAACUAUGUGGACUAUCAUUACUAAAACAGUUUCAGUCAGAAUUUCGUUGUUGAUUUACAAAAACCUGAAGAAGAGAAGUAGAGAAGAGAGUUAAUAUAAUUUUUUCAACAUGUUAAGCAUAAGCGAAGUUUUGAGUGAGAAUCUACAGGUAUUUGAGCAAUAAAAACAAUUUGUAACCAGUUUCGUUUUAUCUUCUUGAUUACUUUUAUACUAAAAAUUGCUCAUAAUUUGAACGAAAAAUACUCAUAAAAGAUUACUUGCUUUUUCGUUUUUAUGGAGUUUGAAAGUUUUCGAUUGGUUAAACACUAGGCAUUGCUUAGAUACUAGGCAUUGGUUAGAUAAUAGGCAUUGGUUAGAUACUAGGCACUGGUUAGAUACUAGGCAUUGGUUAGAUACUAGGCAUUGGUUAGAUACUAGGCAUUGGUUAGAUACUAGGCAUUGAUUAGAUACUAGGCAUUGGUUAGACACCAGGUUACUGUUUUUUAUUUAUUUUGAUUCUUAACAAUUUAACUAUGUGGACUAUCAUUAUUAAAACAGUUUCAGUCAGAAUUUCGUUGUUGAUUUACAAAAACCUGAAGAAGAUAAGUAGAGAAGAGAGUUAAUAUAAUUUUUUCAACAUGUUAAGCAUAAGCGAAGUUUCGAGUGAGAAUCUACAGUCAGAAUUUCGUUGUUGAUUUACAAAAACCUGAAGAAGAGAAGUAGAGAAGAGAGUUAAUAUAAUUUUUUCAACAUGUUAAGCAUAAGCGAAGUUUCGAGUGAGAAUCUACAGGUAUUUGAGCAAUAAAAACAAUUUGUAACCAGUUUCGUUUUAUCUUCUUGAUUACUUUUAUACUAAAAAUUGCUCAUAAUUUGAACGAAAAAUACUCAUAAAGGAUUACUUGCUUUUUCGUUUUUAUGGAGUUUGAAAGUUUUCGAUUGGUUAGACACUAGGCAUUGGUUAGAUACUAGGCAUUGGUUAGAUACUAGGCAUUGGUUAGAUACUAGGCAUUGGUUAGAUACUAGGCAUUGGUUAGAUACUAGGCAUUGGUUAGAUACUAGGCAUUGGUUAGAUACUACGCAUUGGUUAGAUAUUAGGCAUUGGUUAGAUACUAGACAUUGGUUAGAUACUAGGCAUUGGUUAGACACCAGGUUACUGUUUUUUAUUUAUUUUGAUUCUUAACAAUUUAACUAUGUGGACUAUCAUUACUAAAACAAUUUCAGUCAGAAUUUCGUUGUUGAUUUACAAAAACCUGAAGAAGAGAAGUAGAGAAGAGAGUUAAUAUAAUUUUUUCAACAUGUUAAGCAUAAGCGAAGUUUCGAGUGAGAAUCUACAGGUAUUUGAGCAAUAAAAACAAUUUGUAACCAGUUUCGUUUUAUCUUCUUGAUUACUUUUAUACUAAAAAUUGCUCAUAAUUUGAACGAAAAAUACUCAUAAAGGAUUACUUGCUUUUUCGUUUUUAUGGAGUUUGAAAGUUUUCGAUUGGUUAGACACUAGUAAGGCAUUGGUUAGAUACUAGGCAUUGGUUAGAUACUAGGCAUUGGUUAGAUACUAGGCAUUGGUUAGAUACUAGGCAUUGGUUAGAUACUAGGCAUUGGUUAGAUACUAGGCAUUGGUUAGAUACUAGGCAUUGGUUAGAUACUACGCAUUGGUUAGAUAUUAGGCAUUGGUUAGAUACUAGACAUUGGUUAGAUACUAGGCAUUGGUUAGAUACUAGGCAUUGGUUAGAUACUAGGCAUUGAUUAGAUACUAGGCGUUGGUUAGACACCAGGUUACUGUUUUUUAUUUAUUUUGAUUCUUAACAAUUUAACUAUGUGGACUAUCAUUACUAAAACAGUUUCAGUCAGAAUUUCGUUGUUGAUUUACAAAAACCUGAAGAAGAGAAGUAGAGAAGAGAGUUAAUAUAAUUUUUUCAACAUGUUAAGCAUAAGCGAAGUUUCGAGUGAGAAUCUACAGGUAUUUGAGCAAUAAAAACAAUUUGUAACCAGUUUCGUUUUAUCUUCUUGAUUACUUUUAUACUAAAAAUUGCUCAUAAUUUGAACGAAAAAUACUCAUAAAGGAUUACUUGCUUUUUCGUUUUUAUGGAGUUUGAAAGUUUUCGAUUGGUUAGACACUAGUAAGGCAUUGGUUAGAUACUAGGCAUUGGUUAGAUACUAGGCAUUGGUUAGAUACUAGGCAUUGGUUAGAUACUAGGCAUUGGUUAGAUACUAGUCAUUGGUUAGAUACUAGGCGUUGGUUAGAUAUUAGGCAUUGGUUAGAUACUAGACAUUGGUUAGAUACUAGGCAUUGGUGAGAUACUGGGCAUUGGUUAGAUACUAGGCAUUUGUUAGAUAUUAGGCAUUGGUUAGAUACUAGGCAUUGGUUAGACACCAGGUUACUGUUUUUUAUUUAUUUUGAUUCUUAACAAUUUAACUAUGUGGACUAUCAUUACUAAAACAGUUUCAGUCAGAAUUUCGUUGUUGAUUUACAAAAACCUGAAGAAGAGAAGUAGAGAAGAGAGUUAAUAUAAUUUUUUCAACAUGUUAAGCAUAAGCGAAGUUUCGAGUGAGAAUCUACAGUUUCAGUCAGAAUUUCGUUGUUGAUUUACAAAAACCUGAAGAAGAUAAGUAGAGAAGAGAGUUAAUAUAAUUUUUUCAACAUGUUAAGCAUAAGCGAAGUUUCGAGUGAGAAUCUACAGUCAGAAUUUCGUUGUUGAUUUACAAAAACCUGAAGAAGAGAAGUAGAGAAGAGAGUUAAUAUAAUUUUUUCAACAUGUUAAGCAUAAGCGAAGUUUCGAGUGAGAAUCUACAGUCAGAAUUUCGUUGUUGAUUUACAAAAACCUGAAGAAGAGAAGUAGAGAAGAGAGUUAAUAUAAUUUUUUCAACAUGUUAAGCAUCAGCGAAGUUUCGAGUGAGAAUCUACAGGUAUUUGAGCAAUAAAAACAAUUUGUAACCA
This is a long non-coding RNA of Bombyx mori (domestic silkworm), 3544 nucleotides long. RefSeq lists it as uncharacterized. NCBI's taxonomy places the organism in Eukaryota, Metazoa, Arthropoda, Insecta, Lepidoptera, Bombycidae. The record is from RefSeq and is a predicted model, not a curated record. The transcript is spliced from 6 exons.